GAUGGUUAUAGAUUUUUGAUUUACUUUAUCUUCUGGUUCAAAUAUGAUGCCCAGUGAUGGGAGAAUUGAAAACCUAAACAGUGGUAAGCGUGGUUGAUUUUUCAUUAGCCCGUACUUACCACAAGCACCACCUCUCUCUCUCACUACAACAAACAACAACCAAGCCUUAUCCCACUAUACGUGGGAUUGGCUGGAUGAAUCAUUGAACGCCAUUACGCUGGGUUUUGUGCCAAGUCUUCCGUUAUCUCUGUCUCUCAUACAUAUAAAUAUAUACAUACAUUCACACAUACAUACGUUGGUGGUGCAUGGUGGAGUACGAAGGCUUUUGAGGAACGCCACUAGCCGUGAACUGUAUAUGACUCGUUCAAAGGUGUGAGAUCUGAGGGCACGAACCUUUGAAGUAGUGAUGCUUGUCAAGUUAUUUUUCAAGGUUAGAGCACGAGCCUUUGGUGUAGUAAUGUUGUGCUAAUGAUGAGUUAUACUCUGUAUCUAGCCUUUCUUUUUCUUGAAUUAUUUUGGAUCAUUACCAUGUUCUCUGAUAUAGUUUUUUUGCUGCUUCUGAAAGGUUUAUUUGCCUAAUGAUGGAAAACUCAUUUAUGGAGCGGUUCUGUGGAUUGUUAUUAGGAGCCUUUUCUAUCAUUUUCCUAUACUAGUCGCCGUCAUCAUCAACACCACCAUUCUUCUCUCUCUCUCUCUCUCUCUCUCUCUUCUCUCUCUCUUCUCUCUCCCUCUCUGGCUUGUAUGGUUGAAGAUGUGAAGAGGUUCAUAGUGAUAAUCCACAGUUAACUAGCAAUGACCAGAUAUAGCUAUGAGAUCUGAAGGCUCUUCAGUUUUUUGCCUUUUUUUAUUUAAGAUAUGCUUGUUGAAUUUUAAAUUAUUUUUGUUCCCUUAGUUAUUUAUAUAGGUCAUUGCAGCAUUGUAGACAUUAUUUUAGUUUAACUGGAGCACUUUUGGCAUUGCAGUAUUUGAUUACUAUAAAUGUACUGUUACUUUUGUAUUGAUUUCAAAUUUUCUGUUAAUAGAAAACCAAAGAGCACUUUCGGCAUUGCAGUAUUUUUGUAUAUAAUGCGAGCUCCCUUCAGACUCAAACCUGCUUGUACAUUGUUACAUAUAAAGCUAAUAAACUGUCGUUUGGAAAAAAAUUCACUCUUUCAUUGUUACUGAGUGCUUUUAUUUCCUACAAAGCUAUUAUUGUAGAUUGUUUUUGUUGAAAGAUGGUUAUACAUUUUGAUUAACUUUAUCUUCUGGUUCAAAUAUGAUGCCCAGUGAUGGAAAGUUGAAAACCUAAAUAGUGGUAAGGGUGGUUGAUUCUUCAUUAUCCCGUACUAACCACAAGCACCACCUCUCUCUCUCUCUCUCUCUCUCUCUCUCUCUCUCUAAUAUAUAUACAUACAUACAUACACACACAUACGUUGGUGCUGCAUUGUGGAGUAUGAAGGCUUUUGAGGAACGCCAUUGCCCAUGAACUGGAAAUGACUUAUUGCUAUG
Molecule: long non-coding RNA, 1488 nt
Filed under: Malus domestica (apple)
Lineage: Eukaryota; Viridiplantae; Streptophyta; Magnoliopsida; Rosales; Rosaceae
Description: long non-coding RNA (MDOM_LNC008909)
Source: RNAcentral